This 508-nucleotide ribosomal RNA is filed under the name uncultured bacterium. Its description in RNAcentral is "partial 16S ribosomal RNA". It matches the Rfam family "Bacterial small subunit ribosomal RNA", at positions 30 to 523 of the family's 1533-position model. The record is from RNAcentral.
AUUGAACGCUGGCGGCAUGCCUUACACAUGCAAGUCGAACGGCAGCGGGGGAGAAGCUUGCUUUUCCUGCCGGCGAGUGGCGAACGGGUGAGUAAUACAUCGGAACGUGCCCUGUAGUGGGGGAUAACUAGUCGAAAGAUUAGCUAAUACCGCAUACGACCUGAGGGUGAAAGUGGGAGACCGCAAGGCCUCAUGCUAUAGGAGCGGCCGAUGUCUGAUUGGCUAGUUGGUGGGGUAAAGGCCUACCAAGGCGACGAUCAGUAGCUGGGCUGAGAGGAAAACCAGCCACACUGGGACUGAGACACGGCACAGACUACUACGGGAGACAGCAGUGGAGAAUUUUGGACAAUGGACGAAAGCCUGAUCCAGCAAUGCCGGGUGUGUGAAGAAGGCCUUCGGGUUGUAAAGCACUUUUGUCCGGAAAGAAAUGGCUCUGGUUAAUACCUGGGGUCGAUGACGGUACCGGAAGAAUAAGGACCGGCUAACUACGUGCCAGCCGCCGCGGUAA